AUAUUAAUAAGCGGAGGAAAAGAAACUAACAAGGAUUCCCUCAGUAGCGGCGAGUGAACCGGGAAAAGCUCAAAUUUAAAAUCUGUACUCCUCGAGUAUCGAAUUGUAGUUUUAAGAAGCGUAUUCGUUGGAGCAAACAAGGUUAAAAUCUCCUGGAAAGAGGUAUCAAAGAGGGUGAUAAUCCCGUUUGAAGCUUUGUUUGUUUUGGCAUAUGUUUAUGUUUCAUAGAGUCGGGUUGUUUGGGAAUGCAAUCUUAAAUGGGUGGUAAAUCUCAUCUAAAGCUAAAUAUUGACAAGAGACCGAUAGCGCACAAGUA
RNAcentral lists this ribosomal RNA (316 nucleotides) under uncultured eukaryote. RNAcentral describes it as "partial large subunit ribosomal RNA". It matches the Rfam family "Eukaryotic large subunit ribosomal RNA", at positions 40 to 350 of the family's 3401-position model. The record is from RNAcentral.